RNAcentral lists this long non-coding RNA (1565 nucleotides) under Sus scrofa (pig). Its description in RNAcentral is "lncRNA (ENSSSCG00000062298.1)". Lineage: Eukaryota; Metazoa; Chordata; Mammalia; Artiodactyla; Suidae. The record is from RNAcentral.
GUUGUUGUUUUUGUUGCUAUUUCUUGGGCCGCUCCCGCGGCAUAUGGAGGUUCCCAGGCUAGGGUUGAAUCGGAGCUGUAGCCACGGCCUACGCCAGAGCCACAGCAACGCAGGAUCCGAGCCGCGUCUGCAACCUACACCACAGCUCACGGCAACGCCGGAUCGUUAACCCACUGAGCAAGGGCAGGGACCGAACCCGCCACCUCAUGGUUCCUAGUCAGAUUCGUUAACCACUGCACCACGACGGGAACUCCCAUAAUUAACUUUUUAAAGGCUGAUUUUUAUUUUCAUCAGGAUAUACCUGGUCAUGGUUUAGGGAAUCAAAUUAUUUAACAAGACAUAGGAAGCAAAAGAAAAAUUAAUUUGUUUGCUCCCAUCAUAUCCCAUUUCCCAUUCCUUAGAAACAAGCAAUUUCAAUCCUUUCAAUUUUUUAAUACAUAUCCCUAUCUUUAAGGGAGAUGCUUAUACCACUGCUUCUGUUUCCAGGUUAGAUACCUAUUCAUUCAUUUCUCACCGAUGGAAGAUUAGUGUUUCUUUUCCAAACUCUUCCUUUCUCUCGCUGCCCCUGCACACUUCCCAACUCCUCACCCCUCUAUAAAUGCAUUCUCUUACAAAAAUUCAGUGCUUUAAUUCUUAUGAUCACAUAAAUGAUAUUCAGAGCUGAGCUAUACAGAACAUUUGCCUUAUUUGAAUGUGUACAAAUAGAUAUACAAUUUGAUGAGCACACUGUGCAACCAUCACCCAGAUCUAGAAACAGGACAGUGAGACAGAAGCACCCAGAAGCCUUCAGAUCCUUCCUCAUCCUUGUCCUCAAGAACUGCUCUGACCAUUCUUGCUAUAGUUCUGUUUUUAAGUUUAUAUAGAAUCGUAGAGUAUAAGAGUUAUUGCUGUGGCUCAGUAGGUUAAGGACCCGAUGUUAGCUUUGACAGGAUGCAUGUUCAAUCCCUGGCCUUGCUCAGUGGGUUAAGGAUCUAGCGUUGCUGCAAGCUACUGCAUAGGUUGCAGAUGCGUCUCAGAUCUGGUGUUGGUGUUGCUGUGGCUGUGGCAUAGGCCUCAGCUGCUGCUGAUUCAACCCUUGACUCAGGAACUUCCAUAUACCACACGUACGGCCAUAAAAAGAAAAAAAGAAAGAAUCAUACAAUAAGUACUCUUUUUUGUCUGAUUGAUUUUGCUGUUCUCUUUCUAGCUUGAGAUCAAAGCUUAGAUUACUGAUCUGGACUUCCCACUGUAGUACAGUGGGUUAAGGAUCUGGCAUUGCCACAGCUGUAGCACAAGUCUGGAUUCAACCUCUGGCCCCAGAAUUUCCAUAUGCCUCAGAACUGAUCUUUCUUUUCUCUUUCCAUUGUGAUUUUUUUUUGUACUUUUAAAAUAAUGAAUUUGCAGACUUUGGGCUGUGGUGCAAUGAUAUUGGAGGCAUCUCUGCAGCACUAGAAUGUAGGUUCAAUCCCCAGCUGACACAGUGGGUUAAAGGAGCUGGCAUUGCCACAGUUGCAGCCUAAGUCGUGACUGGCUCGGAUUUGGUCCCUGGCUCGGGAACUCCAUAUGCUGUCAGGGCAGCCAAAAAA